UUCGCAAUGCCCGAAAGGGUGACGAAGCGACGCCGCGUGGGUGAGGAAGGCCUUCGGGUUGUAAAGCCCUGUCAGGAGUUAAGAAGUAUAAGUGUGUUAAUACCGCAUUUAUUUGACGAAGGCUCCAAAGGAAGCCACGGCUAACUCUGUGCCAGCAGCCGCGGUAAUACAGAGGUGGCAAGCGUUGUUCGGAAUUAUUGGGCGUAAAGAGCACGUAGGUGGGUUUGUAAGUCAGAUGUGAAAGCCUUCUGUUCAACGGGAGAAUUGCAUCUGAAACUGCAAGUCUUGAGUAUAGGAGGGGAGAAUGGAACUUCUGGUGGAGCGGUGAAAUGCGUAGAUAUCAGAAGGAACGCCGGCGGCGAAAGCGAUUCUCUGGCCUAUUACUGACACUCAGUGUGCGAAAGCUAGGGGAGCAAACGGGAUUAGAUACCCCGGUAGUCCUAGCUGUAAACGAUGGGCACUAAGUAGAGGGGUUUU
Molecule: ribosomal RNA, 477 nt
Filed under: uncultured anaerobic ammonium-oxidizing bacterium
Lineage: Bacteria
Description: bacterial SSU rRNA
Rfam family: Bacterial small subunit ribosomal RNA
Source: RNAcentral